UACGUAGGGUGCGAGCGUUAAUCGGAAAUACUGGGCGUAAAGCGUGCGCAGGCGGUUUUGUAAGCCAGAUGUGAAAUCCCCGGGCUUAACCUGGGAAUGGCAUUUGGGACUGCAAGGCUCGAGUGCGGCAGAGGAGACUGGAAUUCCUGGUGUAGCAGUGAAAUGCGUAGAUAUCAGGAGGAACACCGAUGGCGAAGGCAGGUCUCUGGGCUGACACUGACGCUCAUGCACGAAAGCGUGGGGAGCAAACAGG
Molecule: ribosomal RNA, 253 nt
Filed under: uncultured bacterium
Lineage: Bacteria
Description: partial 16S ribosomal RNA
Rfam family: Bacterial small subunit ribosomal RNA
Source: RNAcentral